GGCUGGUCAGAGUACAGUGGUGUCUACAAUUAAUUGAUCACAACCAUUUACAAUUUAUUUGUUCCUUCUCCCACUGCUUCACUUGACUAGGCUAAA
This is an unclassified non-coding RNA of Pteropus vampyrus (large flying fox), 96 nucleotides long. It matches the Rfam family "Y RNA". From Rfam's summary of the family: Y RNAs are components of the Ro ribonucleoprotein particle (Ro RNP), in association with Ro60 and La proteins. NCBI's taxonomy places the organism in Eukaryota, Metazoa, Chordata, Mammalia, Chiroptera, Pteropodidae. The record is from Ensembl.